UUUUUGGUUUUUUUUUCCCUUUUCUUUUCUUCUUCCAGAAAGAAGAGGGAAAAAUGUAAACCCUUAUAUCACACAGAAAUCUAUGAUCAGAAGCCUUGCAAGCAAAGAAACACACUUAAUAAAUUUUUAGCUAUGUGUGAAUAUCAUUGCUAAGACAGACUGCCAUCUGUUGUCCCCCAUUUACUGAAAAAACAUUGUGGGGAACCCCAAUUUCCUCUGAUCAUUCAAUUAAGUAUACAAGACCAGAUUAAUCUCUCAAGAAUGAAUAUGAUAUCAACGGCCUAAGUUGAAAACAUCUAACAGCCUCCAUUGCUCUUAAGGAGACAAUAUAGCAUCCAAGCCUCCUACAUUCCCAUCUGUGUGGUUCUACAGUAAGAAAGUGCUAGUAUACGAGUUGGUAGCAAAUGAAUCAGAGAAGUAUGAUGGAUGUGGAGAUAAUUGCCCAAGAGAGAUAAAAAUCAAUUAAUUAAUGAUCAAAGUGGAAAACAUUGUACCCCGUCAGGGAGAUUCCUAGGCAUUGGAAGUGCAGUAACAUAUCUUUGGAGACGGGAUUUCUGAGUUGCAUCAGAGGAUGAUGAGGUCUCAGCCCCAUCAGCUUGGCCCCGUCCAUGGAACUUGGCAAAACGAUUGAUAACAGAAUACUUCUCUAGCUCUUGGCAUUCCACUCUCAGGUCUAGAACAGAUGUUCUCUUGUCCAAUCUCAAGAUAUCAUUUUCUAGCUUCCUUGCUCUACUGAUCAGGUCUUCCACAACUCUUGAGAAGUAUUGAUUGCUGAUUCUCUCAGAUGUUUUUAGCUUCUCAGGCAGGGAAUUUCCACUGCUGGAAGGCACAGGAGUUUCACUUCCACCACAAGAGAGUGUGCUGCAGGCAUCUCCCAGGGUUGAUCGAGCAAGCAAGUGUACAACACUCUCAUAAUGUGACAUAGCAUCUGCAGACAGAACUGAUGCCAACGAAGGGUGAAAAAGCAGCUGCAUAAGCUGUGUUGUCAAUAUAAGCCUUCUCUUUGAUCUAAAUCCUGGUGGUCUGUCCUCUACCAUUUCAGUUUCAUCUUCCACCUUCUCAGGCAAUCUGUUUGCUGCAUGAGCCCAUUCCAGUUCUGCCGAACUGAUGUUCUGAAGCCUUUGAAGGCCAUGCACCACUUGUUUAUUCCAUGGUAAAAGUUCUGACGUAGCACUUUUACGCUUCUUUGGUCUCACAGCAGCCAAGCUCACAUCAACAGUAUCAAGAUGCAUUAACUGAGGGGAAGAGAGUGGUGAGGGGGUUGAACCCUUUUGGAGAAGACUAUGCCGACUAGCAUCAGCAGCAAUCACAUUUUCUUGCUCCACUGGACCAUGAGCAUGCAAACUAUUGGAAGGCCUUCCAACAGUGAAAGGAAGUUCCAUAGUCUUUACGGUGACAUUUCUCCGUGCAUCAUGUAAUGGUAAUAUCUGUCCAUUUUUAAAGGCACCAUACUGAUCAAACCAGGAAGGGGCCAUCUGGGGACUGAUCUGAGAAUGUUCAGUUCUCACUGAAACUGCACUGCUAUUAGCAAAAUUCUGAGAAUCAUUUUGACCAAAUCCAAGCGUAUCCUGAGAAAGGGCAUUUGCAUCCCGAACAUCUGUCCUUCUUCCCAAAAUGCUUAGCAUCUUAGCAUCUCCAGCAGAACUUGAAGCACAAUUUGUUGAUGUAUCUCUGACCAUAUUAUUGUGACCAUAUAACUGCUGUCCAUCCAGGGGGCCUACUUGCUGAGCAUCCACAGCACCAUCAGGACCUUUAAAUCUCUUCAUACUCCUAUUGUCUGGAUCCACAUCUGCAUUUUUUGUGCCCUGCACUUGAUGCAUUAAGGAGUAAUUCUCAUGAAAAAAAUUAUUGAGCAAGAAGAGGUCACCUUGAGUUCCACUCAUCAUAAUUUAAAUUAGUGAUAUAUUUAUAUCAUUAACUAAAAAUUAAUUAUUAUAUUGAUUUUUCCAUAAUAAAUAGAUGAAUAAAAUAAAACAUUAAAUAAUAAAAAUAUUAAAUUAAAAUUAAUAAGUGGUCAAGAGUAUUUUUAAGAAUACGAAGUUUAAAAUUCGUGUUUGAACAAUGAUAACUAACAUAAGUAAAAGCAAUAAUUUUUUCACUUCAAUUGUGGAAAAAAUCAGAUUUAAUACCUUUUUAUGCUAAAAAUGAAUUCUUAAAAUAAUAAAUAAGGCUUCAUUUAUUUUAUAAAAAAAAUAUUUUUUUAAUCAGAGGAGCUUUUCCAAAAGAGAAAUUCAGUAAACUAAUAAUAAUAAUAAUUUCUAAUCCAUCCAACUGUUUCUUCUCCAAGCUGCUCAAAGAUCUGACCCGAAAUUUCUGGACAUCAGCAAAUAGAAACGUCCCAAGAUAUUGUCAAUUCGUAAACCAUCCCCCACACUACAGGGAUCUAUAGCUUAGCUCGGGUCCCAAAUACGUGUGACAGACAGUUUCAUCCCACGUGGCGUCGUCGCCUAUCGUCUCCUCUCUGGCUCUAUGCCUUUAUCUAUUUUUUAUUUUAAAAAAAAUUAAAAAAAGAGUCUAUUUCCACUUUUCAUUCCCCUCCUCCAGCGCGGCCAUAAAUAAACCCGUCCUCUAGGCUGUAUAGCUCGUGACAACAUUGCUUCUCUGUUAAGUCCCUCCACAAGAAAGUUAACUGCUCUCGCUUCUCUCUCUAUCUCUCUCUGUUUGAGGUUUCCGUCAUGGCAAGGAAUAUUCUGGUCACCGGUGGUACUGGUUACAUUGGGAGUCACACGGUGCUUCAACUCCUUUUAGGCGGUUACUCAGUUGUCGUUGUCGAUAAUCUCGAUAAUUCCUCCGCUGUUGCUCUCGAAAGAGUCAAGGAAAUCGCCGGCGAACGCGGCAAGAACCUCUCCUUUCACCAGGUUGACCUCCGGAACAAGCCAGCUCUGGAAAAAGUUUUCUCCCAGACAAAAUUUGAUGCUGUUAUCCACUUUGCUGGGCUCAAGGCAGUUGGUGAGAGUGUGGAGAAACCAUUGCUUUAUUUUGACAACAAUCUUAUUGGAACAAUUACAUUGCUGGAAGUAAUGACUGCCCACGGAUGCAAGAAGCUUGUGUUUUCCUCGUCUGCUACUGUUUAUGGUUGGCCAAAGGAGGUUCCAUGUACUGAAGAAUUCCCUCUAUUUGCAAUGAACCCAUAUGGUAGAACCAAGCUUUUCAUCGAAGAGAUUUGCGGUGAUAUCUACCGUUCAGAUUCUGAAUGGAAGAUCAUAUUGCUAAGAUACUUCAAUCCUGUUGGUGCACAUCCUAGUGGCCUUAUUGGUGAGGAUCCCCGUGGAAUUCCAAACAACCUAAUGCCAUACGUGCAGCAAGUUGCUGUUGGAAGGCGUCCUCAUCUGACAGUCUUUGGAAAUGACUAUACAACCAAAGAUGGUACCGGGGUACGUGACUAUAUUCAUGUUGUUGACUUAGCAGAUGGUCACAUUGCUGCAUUGUGUAAGCUCUCCGAUGCUAAAAUAGGUUGUGAGGUAUAUAAUUUGGGAACAGGAAAAGGAACAUCAGUUUUGGAGAUGGUUGCAGCAUUUGAAAACGCUUCUGGAAAGAAAAUUCCUCUUGUAAUGGCUGGACGGCGUCCUGGUGAUGCUGAAAUUGUUUAUGCAUCAACAGACAAGGCAGAACGUGAAUUGAAGUGGAAGUAAGUGAAAAUAUGCAUGCAUUUUUCGUUUUGUAAUCCAACAACUAGCUUAAAUUGUUAUUUUAGUGAUGAUUAGUGGAAUAAAAUGAAAAUUGGAAAGAAGUCAUGGAAAGAUGAUUUUUUGGAGCAUUAUAUGGCAUGUAAAAUGUUGGUUGGGCAGCUGGCAUUGUUAUAUAGGACUUGUAAUCUGUACUCCAUAUUCCUCAAACAUGUGUAAAUUCCCUUGCAGGGCAAAAUAUGGCAUUAAUGAGAUGUGCAAAGAUCAAUGGAACUGGGCCAGCAAGAACCCUUAUGGCUAUGGGUCUCCUGAGACCAAGUGAAAGACUAAUAUUUUAAUGAUGUCUUCUCACCCACAUUAUCAUGUUUAUAAUGCUUUUAGGGAUUAGGUAUUAGCUGAUAACCAUUGUUGUGUUAUGAUCCCCAAAUAAGCUGCCACUUGGCCCCUACAUCUACAUAAAUGUCCAGCUAGGAGUCCCUCUUGUAGUUGACAGUCAUUUGAGGGCUAUAUUCUUCCUAGUUAAUUAGUGAAAUAAACUCUAUUUCAAUGAGUAAAUAUUUCUAAUUUCAUUGUGUUUGUAAUCAUGGGAUUAUUAUGGUUGGUUGAUCUUUCCUUUGUGAAUAAGAUUAUUU
RNAcentral lists this unclassified non-coding RNA (4258 nucleotides) under Hevea brasiliensis (rubber tree). The record is from RNAcentral. Lineage: Eukaryota; Viridiplantae; Streptophyta; Magnoliopsida; Malpighiales; Euphorbiaceae.